This 204-nucleotide long non-coding RNA is filed under the name Ananas comosus (pineapple). RNAcentral's name for it is "long non-coding RNA (ACOM_LNC005331)". The record is from RNAcentral. Lineage: Eukaryota; Viridiplantae; Streptophyta; Magnoliopsida; Poales; Bromeliaceae.
GAUAGAUCUAGCUCACAGUCUGCAUUUAGGAUGGUAUAGCCAUCCAAUCCCCACAUGGAGGGGAUUGUCGUCGAGUACUCCGGAGUGUCGCGCGACUAGGACCACUUGGAGGUCCGGACCACAUGGAGGUCCGCAGACGGUCCCGGGCUUGGGUGCACUUGGAGCUCCCUCCCCACUUUGGGAUUUGAAGGUGAGUCAUGGGCG